GAUACAAACAACCAAGAUUAGGACCACCGCAGCGGCGGGAUAAGGUCAAGAGGCGAAUAAUCUCAACAAGCGGAACAAAAGCCUCCGACGGAAAGUCUCGACCGAGCAACGCCGCGUGGAGUGAUGAAGGUUUUCGGAUCGUAAAGCUUCUGUUGUUAGGGAGACAAGUACCGUUCGAAUAGGGCCGGUACCUUGACGGUACCUAACCAGAAAUGUCCACGGCCUAACUACGUGCCAGCAGCCGCGGUAAUACGUUAGGUGGCAAGCGUUGUCCGAAAUUAAUUGGCGUAAAGGGCUCGCAGGCGGUUUUCUUAAGUCUGAUGUGAAAGCCCCCGGCUCACCCGGGGAGGGUCAUUGGAAACUGGGGAACUUGAGUGCAGAAGAGGAGAGUGGAAUUCCACGUGUAGCGGUGAAAUGCGUAGAGAUGUGGAGGAACACCAGUGGCGAAGGCGACUCUCUGGUCUGUAACUGACGCUGAGGAGCGAAAGCGUGGGGAGCGAACAGGAUUAGAUACCCUGGUAGUCCACGCCGUAAACGAUGAGUGCUAAGUGUUAGGGGGUUUCCGCCCCUUAGUGCUGCAGCUAACGCAUUAAGCACUCCGCCUGGGGAGUACGGUCGCAAGACUGAAACUCAAAGGAAUUGACGGGGGCCCGCACAAGCGGUGGAGCAUGUGGUUUAAUUCGAAGCAACGCGAAGAACCUUACCAGGUCUUGACAUCCUCUGACAAUCCUAGAGAUAGGACGUCCCCUUCGGGGGCAGAGUGACAGGUGGUGCAUGGUUGUCGUCAGCUCGUGUCGUGAGAUGUUGGGUUAAGUCCCGCAACGAGCGCAACCCUUGAUCUUAGUUGCCAGCAUUCAGUUGGGCACUCUAAGGUGACUGCCGGUGACAAACCGGAGGAAGGUGGGGAUGACGUCAAAUCAUCAUGCCCCUUAUGACCUGGGCUACACACGUGCUACAAUGGACAGAACAAAGGGCAGCGAAACCGCGAGGUUAAGCCAAUCCCACAAAUCUGUUCUCAGUUCGGAUCGCAGUCUGCAACUCGACUGCGUGAAGCUGGAAUCGCUAGUAAUCGCGGAUCAGCAUGCCGCGGGGAAUACGUUCCCGGGCCUUGUACACACCGCCCGUCACACCACGAGAGUUUGUAACAACAUAAAGCGGGUUGG
RNAcentral lists this ribosomal RNA (1163 nucleotides) under Bacillus subtilis. RNAcentral's name for it is "bacterial SSU rRNA". It matches the Rfam family "Bacterial small subunit ribosomal RNA". The record is from RNAcentral. Lineage: Bacteria; Bacillati; Bacillota; Bacilli; Caryophanales; Bacillaceae.